ACCCGGCUGGCUCAGUGGGUAGAAAAUGAGACUCUUGACCUCAGGGUUGUGAGUUUGAGUCCCAUGUUGGGUG
RNAcentral lists this transfer RNA (73 nucleotides) under Canis lupus familiaris (dog). It matches the Rfam family "tRNA". From Rfam's summary of the family: Transfer RNA (tRNA) molecules are approximately 80 nucleotides in length. Their secondary structure includes four short double-helical elements and three loops (D, anti-codon, and T loops). Further hydrogen bonds mediate the characteristic L-shaped molecular structure. tRNAs have two regions of fundamental functional importance: the anti-codon, which is responsible for specific mRNA codon recognition, and the 3' end, to which the tRNAs corresponding amino acid is attached (by aminoacyl-tRNA synthetases). tRNAs cope with the degeneracy of the genetic code in two manners: having more than one tRNA (with a specific anti-codon) for a particular amino acid; and 'wobble' base-pairing, i.e. permitting non-standard base-pairing at the 3rd anti-codon position. Lineage: Eukaryota; Metazoa; Chordata; Mammalia; Carnivora; Canidae. The record is from Rfam by way of RNAcentral.